RNAcentral lists this unclassified non-coding RNA (323 nucleotides) under Hevea brasiliensis (rubber tree). Lineage: Eukaryota; Viridiplantae; Streptophyta; Magnoliopsida; Malpighiales; Euphorbiaceae. The record is from RNAcentral.
UACUUACAGUUAUGGUGUUCCUCAUUUAUCGAUCGACAAACUUGAGGAUCUCUUACUAGCAUAUUCACUUCCAACAGGGAUUUUCUCGUUGCAACAUGAGCUGCAAUUGCUGUUCCGAAAGAUCCACCUCCAAGUACCACUAUCUUAUUAGUACGUUCAAGGACGUCAGUUUUAGCUCUAGACUGCAAAGAACGAGACCAUCGGACGAGCUUCUCCCAAGCGAGUCGGACAAUUUCCCGGCGUUCUUUUGGGCCAUCAAGCGGCAGUACAAGGGUUUCAGUGUCCGGUUCCGACGGCUGAGGUUGAGCUCGAGGGGCGGCGAA